Long non-coding RNA from Dipodomys spectabilis (banner-tailed kangaroo rat), 397 nucleotides. RefSeq lists it as uncharacterized. The record is from RefSeq and is a predicted model, not a curated record. NCBI's taxonomy places the organism in Eukaryota, Metazoa, Chordata, Mammalia, Rodentia, Heteromyidae. The transcript has 2 exons.
GAAAUCCCCACUAGGUUUCUUCCCAAAGCACUGCAAAUCCAGACGAAGCCACCUGAAGAGUCUGUUCAAAUGACACCAGCCAAGAGAAAGGCCUGGAUCAGAGACAAGAGACUGGAGGGAAAACGAAGGCUCAAAACCCCCCCCCAAAGCCACUUGGUUGCCAGUGGAGAAUCUGCAGGCAAAGCCAAAGCCUCCAGCGCCCUGAACCUAACAUCUGCAACUGGGCCUCCUGUGCCCUGCCUUCAAGUCUCAACUUUGAACUUUUGUAACUUGAGGGGAUGGUGGGCUGGGAGGUGGAGGAGAAUGACAAAAAGGGUGACAUUGAUCAAGAGGAACUGUACUUGGAAACUGACAUGUUGAAAUGAAACCCCUUUUACAACUACUUGCAAGAUAAUUU